This 253-nucleotide ribosomal RNA is filed under the name uncultured bacterium. Its description in RNAcentral is "partial 16S ribosomal RNA". It matches the Rfam family "Bacterial small subunit ribosomal RNA", at positions 524 to 776 of the family's 1533-position model. The record is from RNAcentral.
UACGAAAGGGGCUAGCGUUGUUCGGAAUUACUGGGCGUAAAGCGCACGUAGGCGGCCUUGUAAGAUGGGGGUGAAAUCCCAGGGCUCAACCCGGGAAUUGCCUUCAUGACUGCAAAGCUCGAGGAUGCGAGAGGUGAAUGGAAUUCCGAGUGUAGAGGUGAAAUUCGUAGAUAUUCUGAAGAACACCAGUGGCGAAUGCGAUUCACUGGCGCAUUUCUGACGCUGAGGUGCGAAAGCGUGGGGAGCAAACAGG